GGUCCAGCCUGCCCAGUGAUAUAAUUCAACGGCCGCGGUACCCUAACCGUGCGAAGGUAGCAUAAUCACUUGUCCUCUAAAUAAGGACUUGUAUCAACGGCACCACGAGGGUUGCACUGUCUCCUCUCUCUAAUCAGUGAAACUGAUCUCCCCGUGAAGAAGCGGGGAUAAAACCAUAAGACGAGAAGACCCCAUGGAGCUUCAAACUAAACAGCAACUUAAAUUACCCACCCCCCAUAGAAUAAAGAUAUGCCUGUAAGUUUUGGGUUGGGGCGACCGCGGAGAACAAAAUAACCUCCACAACGAAAAGAACUAAACCUUUAUCCAAGAGUCACCUCUCAAAGAAUUAGUAUUCUAACGGACAAUGACCCGAUUAUCGAUCAACGAACCAAGUUACCCUGGGGAUAACAGCGCAAUCUACUCCAAGAGCCCCUAUCGACGAGUAGGCUUACGACCUCGAUGUUGGAUCAGGGUACCCCAGUGG
This 484-nucleotide ribosomal RNA is filed under the name Theloderma pyaukkya. Its description in RNAcentral is "Theloderma sp. 3 JAD-2016 partial 16S ribosomal RNA". It matches the Rfam family "Bacterial large subunit ribosomal RNA", at positions 1851 to 2553 of the family's 2925-position model. The record is from RNAcentral. Lineage: Eukaryota; Metazoa; Chordata; Amphibia; Anura; Rhacophoridae.